Molecule: ribosomal RNA, 903 nt
Filed under: uncultured bacterium
Lineage: Bacteria
Description: bacterial SSU rRNA
Rfam family: Bacterial small subunit ribosomal RNA
Source: RNAcentral
ACGCUGGCGGCGUGCUUAACACAUGCAAGUCGAACGAAAAUACCAAGCUUGCUUGGUUGAUUAGUGGCGAACGGGUGAGUAACACGUGAGUAACCUGCCCCUUACUUUCUGGAUAACUGCUCGAAAGGGUAGCUAAUACGGGAUAUUCUGGCCUUCCUGCAUGGGUUGGUUUGGAAAGGUUUUUUCUGGUGAGGGAUGGGCUCGCGGCCUAUCAGCUUGUUGGUGGGGUGAUGGCCUACCAAGGCUUUGACGGGUAGCCGGCCUGAGAGGGUGGACGGUCACACUGGGACUGAGAUACGGCCCAGACUCCUACGGGAGGCAGCAGUGGGGAAUAUUGCACAAUGGGCGCAAGCCUGAUGCAGCGACACCGCGUGAGGGAUGAAGGCCUUCGGGUUGUAAACCUCUUUCGUCAGGGAACAAGGCACUGCUUUUGGUGGUGUUGAGGGUACCUGGAUAAGAAGCGCCGGCUAACUACGUGCCAGCAGCCGCGGUAAUACGUAGGGCGCAAGCGUUGUCCGGAAUUAUUGGGCGUAAAGAGCUCGUAGGCGGCUGGACGCGUCUGUCGUGAAAACUUCCGGCUCAACCGGGGGCUUGCGGUGGGUACGGGCCGGCUAGAGUGCGGUAGGGGUAACUGGUACUCCUGGUGUAGCGGUGGAAUGCGCAGAUAUCAGGAAGAACACCGAUGGCGAAGGCAGGUUACUGGGCCGUUACUGACGCUGAGGAGCGAAAGCGUGGGGAGCGAACAGGAUUAGAUACCCUGGUAGUCCACGCUGUAAACGUUGGGCACUAGGUGUGAGGCUCCUUUCCGGGGGUUUUGCGCCGUAGCUAACGCAUUAAGUGCCCCGCCUGGGGAGUACGGCCGCAAGGCUAAAACUCAAAGGAAUUGACGGGGGCCCGCACAAG